GAUGAACGCUAUCUACAGGCUUAACACAUGCAAGUCGAGGGGCAGCAUGGUCUUAGCUUGCUAAGACUGAUGGCGACCGGCGCGCGGGUGAGUAACACGUAUCCAACCUGCCGUCUACUCUUGGACAGCCUUCUGAAAGGAAGAUUAAUACAAGAUGGCAUCAUGAGUCCACAUGUUCACAUGAUUAAAGGUAUUCCGGUAGACGAUGGGGAUGCGUUCCAUUAGAUAGUAGGCGGGGUAACGGCCCACCUAGUCUUCGAUGGAUAGGGGUUCUGAGAGGAAGGUCCCCCACAUUGGAACUGAGACACGGUCCAAACUCCUACGGGAGGCAGCAGUGAGGAAUAUUGGUCAAUGGGCGAGAGCCUGAACCAGCCAAGUAGCGUGAAGGAUGACUGCCCUAUGGGUUGUAAACUUCUUUUAUAAAGGAAUAAAGUCGGGUAUGCAUACCCGUUUGCAUGUACUUUAUGAAUAAGGAUCGGCUAACUCCGUGCCAGCAGCCGCGGUAAUACGGAGGAUCCGAGCGGUAUCCGGAUUUAUUGGGUUUAAAGGGAGCGUAGAUGGAUGUUUAAGUCAGUUGUGAAAGUUUGCGGCUCAACCGUAAAAUUGCAGUUGAUACUGGAUAUCUUGAGUGCAGUUGAGGCAGGCGGAAUUCGUGGUGUAGCGGUGAAAUGCUUAGAUAUCACGAAGAACUCCGAUUGCGAAGGCAGCCUGCUAAGCUGCAACUGACAUUGAGGCUCGAAAGUGUGGGUAUCAAACAGGAUUAGAUACCCUGGUGGUCCACACGGUAAACGAUGAAUACUCGCUGUUUGCGAUAUACAGCAAGCGGCCAAGCGAAAGCGUUAAGUAUUCCACCUGGGGAGUACGCCGGCAACGGUGAAACUCAAAGGAAUUGACGGGGGCCCGCACAAGCGGAGGAACAUGUGGUUUAAUUCGAUGAUACGCGAGGAACCUUACCCGGGCUUAAAUUGCAGAUGAAUUACGGUGAAAGCCGUAAGCCGCAAGGCAUCUGUGAAGGUGCUGCAUGGUUGUCGUCAGCUCGUGCCGUGAGGUGUCGGCUUAAGUGCCAUAACGAGCGCAACCCUUGUUGUCAGUUACUAACAGGUCCUGCUGAGGACUCUGACAAGACUGCCAUCGUAAGAUGUGAGGAAGGUGGGGAUGACGUCAAAUCAGCACGGCCCUUACGUCCGGGGCUACACACGUGUUACAAUGGGGGGUACAGAGGGCCGCUACCACGCGAGUGGAUGCCAAUCCCCAAAACCUCUCUCAGUUCGGACUGGAGUCUGCAACCCGACUCCACGAAGCUGGAUUCGCUAGUAAUCGCGCAUCAGCCACGGCGCGGUGAAUACGUUCCCGGGCCUUGUACACACCGCCCGUCAAGCCAUGGGAGCCGGGGGUACCUGAAGUGCGUAACCGCGAGGAGCGCCCUAGGGUAAAACUGGUGACUGGGGCUAA
RNAcentral lists this ribosomal RNA (1452 nucleotides) under uncultured organism. Its description in RNAcentral is "16S ribosomal RNA". It matches the Rfam family "Bacterial small subunit ribosomal RNA". The record is from RNAcentral.